CUAACAAGGAUUCCCCUAGUAACGGCGAGUGAAGCGGGAAGAGCUCAAGCUUAAAAUCUCCGUGCAAGUUUUGCACGGCGAAUUGUAGUCUAUAGAGGCGUGGUCAGCGUGGGCGCUCGGGGCAAGUUCCUUGGAAGAGGACAGCAUGGAGGGUGAUACUCCCGUUCAUCCCUGAGUUGCUCGUGCGUACGACCCGUUUUCUUUGAGUCGCGUUGUUUGGGAAUGCAGCGCAAAGUAGGUGGUAAAUUCCAUCUAAAGCUAAAUAUUGGUGCGAGACCGAUAGCGAACAAGUACCGUGAGGGAAAGAUGAAAAGAACUUUGAAAAGAGAGUUAAAGAGUACCUGAAACUGCUGAAAGGGAACCGAAUCGUUUCCAGUGUCUAUAAUCCGUGGCAUAUUUCAUUGGCGAGUGUGUGCGUGCGUGUGCUGUGGCAGCGGUCUUUAUGGCUGCGCUCGGUGUGUGUGCUGUGUGUGCUUGCUGGUGCCCUGUGCUGCGGUGGGACGUCAAGGUCAGUUCGUAUGCUGCGGGAAAUGGCUGCCGAGGAGGUAGGGCUUACGCUCCGCGUUUGUCUGUUAUAUCUUGGUGGACGAGUCGUCGCGGUUGGGACUGAGGUGCCUACAACGUGCUUUUGAGUGGGUUUGUGUCUCCGUGUGCGCCGUGUGCGGAUAGCUUGCUAUGCGUGUGUGGUUGUGUGUGGAUUGAUGCGGGCCUUAACUUGUUGCCGUUCGGGACGUUGACGAAAUGGAGCGAUCCGACCCGUCUUGAAACACGGACCAAGGAGUCUAACAUGUGUGCAAGUGUUAGGGUGUGGAAACCCCAGCGCGAAAUGAAAGUGAAGGGCAGCGCAAGUUGUCUGAGGUAGGAAACGUUGUGGGCUUCGGUCUGCGGCGUGGCACUAUCGACCGAUCAUGAACCUUCGUGGUGAAAGAUUUGAGUUUGAGCACAUAUGUUGGUACCCGAAAGAUGGUGAACUAUGCCUGAGUAGGGUGAAGCCAGGGGAAACUCUGGUGGAAGCUCGUAGCGAUUCUGACGUGCAAAUCGAUCGUCAAACUUGGGUAUAGGGGCGAAAGACUAAUCGAACCAUCUAGUAGCUGGUUCCCUCCGAAAUUUCCCUCAGGAUAGCAGCAACUUUUUUACGAUAGUUUUAUGAGGUAAAGCGAAUGAUUAGAGGAUUCGGGGAAGAAACUUCCUCGACCUAUUCUCAAACUUUAAAUCUGUAAGACCUGCAGGUUUCUUAAUUGAACUUGUGGAUGUGAAUAUCAA
This 1263-nucleotide ribosomal RNA is filed under the name Phytophthora ilicis. Its description in RNAcentral is "eukaryotic LSU rRNA". It matches the Rfam family "Eukaryotic large subunit ribosomal RNA", at positions 65 to 1118 of the family's 3401-position model. The record is from RNAcentral. Lineage: Eukaryota; Oomycota; Peronosporomycetes; Peronosporales; Peronosporaceae.